AUCCUUUUGUAGUUCAUAAGCGUGAUGAUUGGGUUUUCACGCGCGUGCGUGAGAUGUGCCUCCCUCAAACCUUGUUACGACAUUGGCACAUUACCCGUCUGACG
Molecule: small nucleolar RNA, 104 nt
Organism: Microcebus murinus (gray mouse lemur)
Lineage: Eukaryota; Metazoa; Chordata; Mammalia; Primates; Cheirogaleidae
Source: Ensembl